Phyllostomus hastatus (greater spear-nosed bat) is the source of this 324-nucleotide long non-coding RNA. RefSeq lists it as uncharacterized. The record is from RefSeq and is a predicted model, not a curated record. The transcript has 2 exons. Lineage: Eukaryota; Metazoa; Chordata; Mammalia; Chiroptera; Phyllostomidae.
GGGAGGUUGUCUGUCCCUAUCACGAGGUUGUUACGUCACCAGACCUGAGGAAGGGGAACAGUGUGGCCCCAGGAGUCCGGCUCUCAUUCUCUUGAUGCAGGAAGAAUUAAACCUGGAGCCUGCUGAGACGUCUUUGCAGCAACAGUGUCCACCCACCUUCCUGGGGACAAGCCUCUGAGUGACACCUGCCCCCUCAGUGUCCUUUGUUUCCUGGUUCAAGCGUCCUCCUCAUGCUGUGGUCCUGCCUUCAAGCUUCAGGGGACAUUGAUUUGGGUUACAGUCCUGGUUUUUACUUAAAAAAGAUAUUUGUUUAAAUACUCAUCA